GACGAACCGUGCGAACGUUAUUCGGAAUCACUGGGCUUAAGGGGAGCGUAGGCGGGCUAUCAAGUCUGGGGUGAAAUCCCACGGCUCAACCGUGGAACUGCCUUAGAUACUGACGGCCUCGAGGGAGAUAGGGGCAUGCGGAACUGUAGGUGGAGCGGUGAAAUGCGUUGAUAUCUACAGGAACUCCGGUGGCGAAAGCGGCGUGCUGGAUCUCUUCUGACGCUGAGGCUCGAAAGCUAGGGGAGCAAACGGG
This 253-nucleotide ribosomal RNA is filed under the name uncultured bacterium. RNAcentral's name for it is "partial 16S ribosomal RNA". It matches the Rfam family "Bacterial small subunit ribosomal RNA", at positions 524 to 776 of the family's 1533-position model. The record is from RNAcentral.